Molecule: ribosomal RNA, 120 nt
Filed under: uncultured bacterium
Lineage: Bacteria
Description: partial 16S ribosomal RNA
Rfam family: Bacterial small subunit ribosomal RNA
Source: RNAcentral
AACGAACGCUGGCGGCAGGCUUAACACAUGCAAGUCGAACGCACCUUUCGGGGUGAGUGGCAGACGGGUGAGUAACGCGUGGGAACGUGCCCUUCAGUUCGGGAUAACCCAGGGAAACUU